Molecule: ribosomal RNA, 332 nt
Filed under: uncultured eukaryote
Lineage: Eukaryota
Description: partial 18S ribosomal RNA
Rfam family: Eukaryotic small subunit ribosomal RNA
Source: RNAcentral
CCCUUAGAUGUUCUGGGCCGCACACGCGCUACACUGACGGAGGCAGCGAGCAUGUCCUUCGCCGAGAGGUGUGGGGAAUCUUGUGAGUCUCCGUCGUGCUGGGGAUAGAUGGUUGCAAUUGUCGAUCUUGAACGAGGAAUUCCUAGUAAGCGCGAGUCAUCAGCUCGCGCUGAUUACGUCCCUGCCCUUUGUACACACCGCCCGUCGCUACUACCGAUUGAAUCGUUUAGCGAGAAUUUUGGAUCGGAGCCCUGGUGGGCAGCGAUGUCCGCCUGGGAUUUACCGAGAAAUCAUUCCAGCUUGCCGAUUUAGAGGAAGUAAAAGUCGUAACA